Molecule: long non-coding RNA, 363 nt
Filed under: Lupinus angustifolius (narrow-leaved blue lupine)
Lineage: Eukaryota; Viridiplantae; Streptophyta; Magnoliopsida; Fabales; Fabaceae
Description: long non-coding RNA (LANG_LNC002307)
Source: RNAcentral
UGCCACUGCCUCUACCGCCAUAGAUAUGUUGUGAAGAGAAAAUAGAAAAGGGCUUACCUUUCUUACUUCUUAAUUUCUUUUCUCUUAGUGUGUUUAUAAAGAGGAGAUGAGGGGUGAGUAUUAAUGUAUUGCCUUUAUUUCUUAAUAGAGGAAAGAAGAAAGAGCGUGGAAGAGAAGAAAUAGGGUGGGACUGUGGGAGAGAAGAAGGGGUAAUUUGUUUUUGUAAAAAGUGUGAUAGAAGAAUGGGGUGGGAGAGAAGAUGGAACAUAGAAUAAGGGUAUGAUUUGUUUUUUGUGGAAAAGGGAUGUUUUGGUGACUCAAGAAGGAUAGAAGAAUGAGUUAAUAUGUACGGAGAAUAAAUGG